GCCAGGUGCAGUGGCACAGACCUGUAGUUGCAGCUACUUGGGAGGCUGAGAUGGGAGGACUGCUUGAGGACAGUUCUGGGCUGUACUAUGCUACGCCCACUGGUAUCCAUGCUAAGUUUAGCAACAAUAUCGUGACAUCCCUGGAACAGAGAACCACCAGGUUGCCUAAGAAGAGAUCACUGCCUCAGGGCAGAAAUGGAGCACGUCAAAACUUUCAUGGUGAUCAUCAGUGAGACUGUGCCUAUGAACAGUCCACUGCAUUCCAGCCUGGGCAACUUAGCAAGAUCCUGUCUCUU
RNAcentral lists this signal recognition particle RNA (296 nucleotides) under Otolemur garnettii (small-eared galago). RNAcentral describes it as "Metazoan signal recognition particle RNA". It matches the Rfam family "Metazoan signal recognition particle RNA". Rfam says of the family: The signal recognition particle (SRP) is a universally conserved ribonucleoprotein. It is involved in the co-translational targeting of proteins to membranes. The record is from Rfam by way of RNAcentral. Lineage: Eukaryota; Metazoa; Chordata; Mammalia; Primates; Galagidae.